GAGGGUAGAGCUUAUUGGUAGAGUGCAUGCUUAGCAUGCACGAGGUCCUGGGUUCAACCCCCAGUACCUCCA
This is a transfer RNA of Camelus ferus (Wild Bactrian camel), 72 nucleotides long. It matches the Rfam family "tRNA". From Rfam's summary of the family: Transfer RNA (tRNA) molecules are approximately 80 nucleotides in length. Their secondary structure includes four short double-helical elements and three loops (D, anti-codon, and T loops). NCBI's taxonomy places the organism in Eukaryota, Metazoa, Chordata, Mammalia, Artiodactyla, Camelidae. The record is from Rfam.